GUGCUUGCUUUGGCAGCACAUAUUCUAAAAUUGGAAAAAUACAGAGAAGAUUAUUAGCAUGGCCCCUGUGCAAGGAUGACACACAAAUUCAUGAAGCAUUCCGUAUUUUU
This 110-nucleotide small nuclear RNA is filed under the name Ursus americanus (American black bear). The record is from RNAcentral. Lineage: Eukaryota; Metazoa; Chordata; Mammalia; Carnivora; Ursidae.